Molecule: ribosomal RNA, 434 nt
Filed under: uncultured bacterium
Lineage: Bacteria
Description: bacterial SSU rRNA
Rfam family: Bacterial small subunit ribosomal RNA
Source: RNAcentral
UGAGGAAUAUUGGUCAAUGGGCGGGAGCCUGAACCAGCCAAGCCGCGUGAGGGAAGAAGGCCCUAUGGGUCGUAAACCUCUUUUAUCAGGGAACAAAAGCGAGUAUGUAUACUAGUCUGAGUGUACCUGAAGAAAAAGCAUCGGCUAACUCCGUGCCAGCAGCCGCGGUAAUACGGAGGAUGCGAGCGUUAUCCGGAUUUAUUGGGUUUAAAGGGUGCGUAGGCGGCGAUGCAAGUCAGCGGUAAAAGCCCGGGGCUCAACCCCGGCGAGCCGUUGAAACUGCAGUGCUAGAGAAGGCGAGAGGUACGCGGAAUGCGCAGUGUAGCGGUGAAAUGCUUAGAUAUUGCGCAGAACUCCGAUUGCGAAGGCAGCGUACUGGCGCCUGACUGACGCUGAGGCACGAAAGCGUGGGGAUCGAACAGGAUUAGAUACCC